Gorilla gorilla gorilla (western lowland gorilla) is the source of this 510-nucleotide non-coding RNA. The record is from Rfam. Lineage: Eukaryota; Metazoa; Chordata; Mammalia; Primates; Hominidae.
GCCGGGUGUGGUGGCAUGCACCUGUAGUCCCAGCUACUUGGGAGGCUGAGGUGGGAGGAUCACUUGAAUCCAGGAAGCAGAGGUUGCAGUGAGCCAAGAUCACACCACUGCACUCUAUCCUGGGUGACAGAAUGAGGCUCUGUCUCAAAAAAAAAAAAAAAAAAAGUAAAGCAAUCUUUACUUUCCCCAGUUACUGAGGAAGCUGAGAGCUGAGGCAGGAAGGAUCACUUGAACCCAGGAGCUGUGGACUGUAGUGUGCUAUACUAUUCGGGUGUCUGCACUAAGUUCGCCAUCAAUAUGGUGACUUCCCAAGAGUGAGGGGCCACCAGGUUGCCUAAGGAGGGGUGAACUGGCCCAAGUCAGAAACUGAGCAGGUCAAAACUCCCGUGCAGCGCUGGGCGCAGUGGCUUACACCUGUAAUCCCAGCACUUUGGGAGGCUGAGGCAGGCGGAUCACCUGAGGUCAGGAGUUCAAGACUAGCCUGGCCAACAUGGCGAAACCCCAUCUCUA